AUACGUAGGGUGCGAGCGUUGUCCGGAAUUACUGGGCGUAAAGAGCUCGUAGGUGGUUUGUCGCGUCGUCUGUGAAAUUCCGGGGCUUAACUCCGGGCGUGCAGGCGAUACGGGCAUAACUUGAGUACUGUAGGGGAGACUGGAAUUCCUGGUGUAGCGGUGAAAUGCGCAGAUAUCAGGAGGAACACCGGUGGCGAAGGCGGGUCUCUGGGCAGUAACUGACGCUGAGGAGCGAAAGCAUGGGUAGCGAACAGGAUUAGAUACCCUGGUAGUCCAUGCCGUAAACGGUGGGCGCUAGGUGUAGGGGCCUUCCACGACUUCUGUGCCGUAGCUAACGCAUUAAGCGCCCCGCCUGGGGAGUACGGCCGCAAGGCUAAAACUCAAAUGAAUUGACGGGG
RNAcentral lists this ribosomal RNA (398 nucleotides) under uncultured bacterium. Its description in RNAcentral is "partial 16S ribosomal RNA". It matches the Rfam family "Bacterial small subunit ribosomal RNA", at positions 523 to 918 of the family's 1533-position model. The record is from RNAcentral.